UUACAGCAAAAGGAGGAAGAUAAGAACGUCUCGCCUUUGAUGGUCAUUAGUCCGUAUAAGUUCCUAUUAGUAUUCGAAUUAAGAGCGCAGUUCCUUGUCGAAGAUGAACAAGCCAACGCCACCCCCACCCAGUCGGAUCAAAUUGGUCUGAUGCUUGGCCAGCUUGUUGAUAGUCUCCACCUGAUCCUUGAGAAAGUGGUCAUCCAGAAAGUCGCACAGAUGAGGAUCGCUGUGCUUGCUACCCAUGGCGUGCAAAUCCAGCAGCGACUUUAAUACGAAAAUCAGUUCACAACCGCCGAUAAUUUUAAUUGAGUGCAAACUCGAUGGCAGCCAAAGGGGAGGCCCAUUCCUGCUCGGCGGGAGAAGCCACCCCAGUGAAAACUACUCGUCCUCCUCGACGAUUCUGGUACUUGAUGAGCUUCCGAACAUGGCCACUUUCUUCUUCAGCUGACUCUUGAAAGUAUUUAGAGUAGCCGAUCAUGGCUACGUCAUCGCGAUCGUAAAAGGCGCUCUAAAUUCAAACGUUGUAAAAGGGAAAACCCUGUGACAGUAGAUCCGGGAAGAGGAGCUCCUUCGCUUGCCUUAUUACUUCAUGGGACAAUCCUUUGAAGAUUUUGUGCAGUCCCUAUCCUACUCCAGCCGCGUGACUGUAUUCGCCAUUUUAUUUUUCCAACUGACUGGCAGUGCUUUCCCCCGAGAGAACACAUGUCUGUCCUACCUCAUAAUAAAAGGUUUUCAGGUGAGAGUCCUUAUUUGACUUCCUGGACAUGUCUUGUCGCUUAAAAUGGACGGAGUUUCUCCUAUCAGCACCGCUUCCGCCGCUGGAUCACUUGGCGCUCGAAAUUUGUGUGACAGUUGGGAAAUGGACGUUUGAAAGUUCCCGCCAGGAUUAUAAUCAAAAGAUUAUGAUGGGUUAUGAAAUGGAUCAUCUCGUCAAACAACCUCCGCCUCCAACCAUGGCGUAACCUAAGCCCAGUCUAAUCCCAUAAUCCUCCGACGCCACAUUUUGAAAGAGAUUGAUAAUCCAUUUGCGGAUGUGGCGGCAGGAAGUGUUUGACAGGAUUUCUUCAGCUACUCCAACCAAUGGAAAGAAAGUCACUUUCACGAAACUAAAACGGUCGGAAAAAAGUGAAACCCAAACAUCCACACCCACACCCACACAACAACUACUGCUACUACUACUACUCCGUUUCUGUCAUCUGGACAUCUCGCUACUUCCCAAAAGAUUACUAUCCAGUGGGUCCCGCUUUCUUUUUUUUUUCUUUUUUGUUUCGUCCGACUCUUUUUUAGCAGACUAAAAGACAAGUUUCAUCGCCAUCUAUGAUUCACAUUUACAGCUACUGAUAUGGAACAAUAUGUCUUCGUUACGUAAGACCGCCGCCUUUUUUUUGUAGCACUGAUUGUGAUUGUUGAUUGAAAGCUGAUUAUGUGGCCUACAUUUUGCCAAGAUGUCGUCUCUUUUUCCUGUACGUACCGGCUGUACGUUUUGUAAGAAACACUUCAGUCUGGUAAAGUCUGAGCUUCGUCAUUGCUGCCCAAUGUUAACAUGGAUUUGAUGCAGCCAGCUGGUAAAGGGUGUCCCUCUUCUACCUGUACUGCUGUGUGUUUCAUCAAAUGAAGAAACAUGAACAACUGAAGUUAUCGUGUAUGAUCGCGUAGUUGGUGUCCGCUGUGGUACGUUGUUGCAGCCUAUGCUGGUGAUAGAUCUUUCUGCAUCAAGUUCCAUCGGCCGUGCUGGUGUCGUGUUACCGAAGUUGCAUUAUUACUUUAUUAAAUUGGCAUUGUAUCAAUGUAGUGCUUUAAUAUGUUAAGAAGAAACAAAAAAAAAAUAUGGGGAUGUGUUUAUGUCAAACAAAUAAUAAACAUGUUUUUGGGGUUGGGAAAGUAAAGUGGUGGAUAUUGGAGGGGGGAGGGAGGAUAUUUCAAGUUUGGAUAAAAAUCCCGUUAAUUUAUAACCCUACUAAUGUAUCCCUACCAAUUAAUCUCCAAACCCCAAAAAUAUAUACCUUCCAAUCCUUCAAACCCCGUAAAUAUACACCUACCAACCCCUAAAUCUAUACCCUUAACUCUAUAAACCAAUGUUAAACCUUAACCAUGUAAUAUCUGUAAUAAAUAUAAAAAAAUACACUA
Daphnia pulex (common water flea) is the source of this 2130-nucleotide long non-coding RNA. RefSeq lists it as uncharacterized. Lineage: Eukaryota; Metazoa; Arthropoda; Branchiopoda; Diplostraca; Daphniidae. The record is from RefSeq and is a predicted model, not a curated record. The transcript has 9 exons.